GCUCCUUUUCCCUUUCUUUUUCUUUUUCCUCUCUUCUCUGUCUAUCUGCUUUUUGAGAAAUAACAAGAAAGAACGGUCUUCUUAUACCUAUGGCGUCCAUUACUGGGUACAAUGAUGUGGCUGUGGCUGUGGCCGUGGCGCUGAAUCACCCAAACCCUCCUGCUAAGACCGUUGAUACUUAGUCUGUUCUCAAAAGGUAGAUUUGGGUUUGUCAAGAAUUUGGGUUUUUCUUUAUUUUUAUUGUGACUUUAAUUAUAUGCUUAGGAUUAUUGAAUAUAUGUAGACAAGCUGUUUGUUGAAAGGUUUCUUAGAGGAUAAAUGGGUUGUUUUGAGGUGUGGGUUUGUCUAUUUGUUAUGGAUUAUUGAGUUCUUGUUUUGGGUAUUUGUUUCUGACUUUGUAUGGAUAUUGGGUUCAUGAUCUGCACCUUCUGUUUGUAAAAGGGUUACUUAGAAAGCUAGAUGGGGUUUUUUUAGGGUAUUGGCUUUUUGUUUUUUUUUUUGAAUCUCUGAGAAUAUAAAUCUUGAAAACUUGAGAACUUUUGAAUUGGCUUUUUAUGAGGGGUUUGUAGGAUUUCUAAUGCUGUUUCCUUUGUUAUUGUCUUAUGAAACAAGUUGCAAUCUGAAUUCAUGGCCUUAAUCAUAAGAACCUUAAUAGUUAAUGGAAAUGUUGAUCCUAUUAAUAAUCUUUCUUUAGAAUGCACUAUGAGGAGAGUGUUCAGAUCAUUAUUGGUACAUUUAUUACUGUUCACUGUUUAUUAUCUUGAGAUUGCAAGUAUUUGAAUUUCAAUUAACUUAGCUAUCUUAGUGUAUAAGGUUUGUUCUUGUUGAAUUUUAAGGGGGGAGGAAAAAACAAAAACCAAAAAUUUUGAAAUCAAAAUUGACGGUGAUUAGAUUGAUAAUUAUGGUUUAAUUAAAUUUCAGUAUUCAGACUAGAUUUGAUUUCUUUUUUCUUCGGAUUCUUUUGAAUGGUUGUUAUUUGCGGACUAAUGUACAACUGUACAAGUAGAGCCGAUUGUUGAGCAAAUUGAUAUGCUUGAUGGUUUCACAGGAAAACUUUGAUUUGGAUGCAACUAAGAGUUCCGUCAGGUAUUGUUAGGUACUUGUUAUCUUUCUUAGUGUUAUGACAUUCAAGACUAUCAUGAGAUUCAUUAAAUUUUUAGUAGAGUGAUGCUUGUAUUGUGUGUUAAAAAUGUUCUCAAGGGGAUGAAAGCAUGUUGUUCUGCCCAGCUGACAUGAAAUAAACGUUGCUCCUGCAUUCACAUAUCUACAAGUCUAUAUUAAGUUAUAUUACUUUCUUCUUGAUAUUUAGUAGGUCGAUAAUUGAUGAAGGCCUGUACAGAUAUUUAAGAUUACAAACAUUGAAGGACGAUCAAUUGAAAAUCAACAAAUCUGGAGGCUCUAUGAUGCAUAUUUCUCUCCACCAUUGCUAAAUUUUGCGUGUCAAGUAAUGUGGUGUUGUGUUGUAUUGAGAAGGAAGAUGGGAGCUUUUCUCCUCUCCAGUCAAAUCUCUCUCUCUCUCUCUUUUAUUUUUUGUUUAUAUUGUAUUUUUCUCUUAAUGAUCAGGGUCUUCAACAAAAACUUGGCAAAAAAAAAAAAAAAAGCCAAUUAGAAACAUAUCCAGAAGUUUGGAGAUGGUAAGCAACAUGUAAAAGGUUUUGGAGACCUAGAGAAGCUCUGCUACAAAGUAGUUUUAUAGACACUCCAUGGUGGUGCUGGUAAGUGAAUAAAAAAGUUUAACAUAUGCCUACAAGAAAAAUAAAAUAAAAUCCAUGCAAUUGUGUUGGGCAAGAAGCAAAGGUAACCACUGAAUUUUAAAGGUGGUUGGAGAUGAGAACUUAAAUGGAAGUGUUACCUCGAUGGCAUGGCUUAACAAUUCCCAUUGAGUAAACUGUUUGUAAAUGUAUGUAGUCAUGCUUUAUUGUUAUAACUAUAGUCAACUAUGCAAUGGUCUAAUGUUUUUGGUGUAUGAGACAAGUUAUAUAUGAUAUAUCAAUGACAUGUUCUCCAUGACUGUAUUUUGGUUAUUUA
Molecule: long non-coding RNA, 2028 nt
Organism: Quercus lobata
Lineage: Eukaryota; Viridiplantae; Streptophyta; Magnoliopsida; Fagales; Fagaceae
Exons: 2
Source: RefSeq, a predicted model, not a curated record